CUGCUCAAUGCGUAUUAUGUAAAUGGCCGCGGUAUUCUGACCGUGCUAAGGUAGCAUAAUCAUUUGUCUCUUGAUUAGAGGCUGGUAUGAAUGGCAAGACGAGAAGGUGACUGUCUCUUUUAUGACACUUGAAUUUCACUUCUGGGUGAAAAGGCCCAGAUAAAUUUAAAGGACGAUCAGACCCUAUAGAGCUUAAAUUUCUUGAGUUAUUGUUUUAGUUGAAGUAAUAAGGGGUAAAUUCAAGAGAUUUUGGUUGGGGCGACAAAGAGAAUAAAAUAACACUCUUUUUAAUUACCACUAAUAAGUGAAUAGUUGAUCCUCAACGAGGGAUUAAAAGACUAAGUUACCUUAGGGAUAACAGCGUAAUAUUCUUGGAGAGUUCUAAUCGAUAAGAAAGUUUGCGACCUCGAUGUUGGAUUAAGAAAUUGAUGAGGUGCAGAAGCUUCAUAAAAAAGUCUGUUCGACUUUUAAUAUCUUACGUGAUCUGAGUUCA
Molecule: ribosomal RNA, 493 nt
Filed under: Podon intermedius
Lineage: Eukaryota; Metazoa; Arthropoda; Branchiopoda; Diplostraca; Podonidae
Description: partial 16S ribosomal RNA
Rfam family: Bacterial large subunit ribosomal RNA
Source: RNAcentral